This 51-nucleotide transfer RNA is filed under the name Escallonia rosea. RNAcentral describes it as "partial tRNA-His". The record is from RNAcentral. Lineage: Eukaryota; Viridiplantae; Streptophyta; Magnoliopsida; Escalloniales; Escalloniaceae.
CGGAUGUAGCCAGGUGGAUCAAGGCAGUGGAUUGUGAAUCCACCAUGCGCG